Molecule: unclassified non-coding RNA, 223 nt
Filed under: Paraglomerales sp.
Lineage: Eukaryota; Fungi; Glomeromycota; Glomeromycetes; Paraglomerales
Description: partial contains 5.8S ribosomal RNA and internal transcribed spacer 2
Rfam family: 5.8S ribosomal RNA (bases 1-65)
Source: RNAcentral
GUGAAUCAUCGAAUUUUUGAACGCAAAUUGCGCCUUUUUCGAAAGGCAUGUCUGUUUGAGGGCCACAUUUAACAAAAAAUGCGCAGCGGUUUUUGUUGCACACGUUGAUGCGCUUUUCAAGAAUUUUAAAUUUUUGGUGGCGCAUAAUGAACAGAGUGAAGAUUUUUUUUCAGUGUGAGUGUAGUUAAAUCUUUGUUUGGGUUGAGAAAAGCGAAAUACUGCA